RNAcentral lists this ribosomal RNA (255 nucleotides) under Triticum aestivum (bread wheat). RNAcentral's name for it is "partial small subunit ribosomal RNA". Lineage: Eukaryota; Viridiplantae; Streptophyta; Magnoliopsida; Poales; Poaceae. The record is from RNAcentral.
AUGCCUCUAGGGACAAACGGAAGAAUGAAGAUUCUUAUACUGCCAUUUAUGCCUUGUUGGUCACUUGGGGACCAGAAUGUGCUCGUGAUCCUUUUUCCUUGGACAAUCCGGCCGUCGACAGUCGCAAGGGGAUCCAAUUCCAGGAGCUCUUCGGCCCCAAUGUCACGUGCCAGGUUUCGGAGUUCGAGUCGGCCAAGCUCAACUACAUUUUCGACGCUUUCCUCUUCUUCAACAGGGACGACGACGACAAGGUGA